RNAcentral lists this ribosomal RNA (501 nucleotides) under uncultured bacterium. RNAcentral describes it as "partial 16S ribosomal RNA". It matches the Rfam family "Bacterial small subunit ribosomal RNA", at positions 30 to 523 of the family's 1533-position model. The record is from RNAcentral.
AUUGAACGCUGGCGGCAGGCUUAACACAUGCAAGUCGAGCGGAGAUGAGGUGCUUGCACCUUAUCUUAGCGGCGGACGGGUGAGUAAUGCUUAGGAAUCUGCCUAUUAGUGGGGGACAACAUUCCGAAAGGAAUGCUAAUACCACAUACGUCCUACGGGAGAAAGCAGGGGAUCUUCGGACCUUGCGCUAAUAGAUGAGCCUAAGUCGGAUUAGCUAGUGGGUGGGGUAAAGGCCUACCAAGGCGACGAUCUGUAGCGGGUCUGAGAGGAUGAUCCGCCACACUGGGACUGAGAAACGGCCCAGACUCCGAGGGGAUGCAGCAGUGGGGAAUAUUGGACAAUGGGGGAAACCCCGAUCCAGCCAUGCCGCGUGUGUGAAGAAGGCCUUAUGGUUGUAAAGCACUUUAAGCGAGGAGGAGGCUACUGAGACUAAUACUCUUGGAUAGUGGACGUUACUCGCAGAAUAAGCACCGGCUAACUCUGUGCCAGCAGCCGCCGUAA